This 3514-nucleotide long non-coding RNA is filed under the name Sus scrofa (pig). Its description in RNAcentral is "lncRNA (ENSSSCG00055008982.1)". The record is from RNAcentral. Lineage: Eukaryota; Metazoa; Chordata; Mammalia; Artiodactyla; Suidae.
AGGGAGGAGAAAGACAAGGCAAGAAAUAAAAGCAAAUCUUUUUAAAUAAUGGAACUAUUUUAAUGUGAGGAUUCUGUCUUUGACAAUGUUCCUUUUCUAAAGCUCUAUUCAAUGUACCCAUAACGGAAGUUUAAUAACACAACUUAUUAUUUAUGAGUAUGUAGACUAUAAACCACAGUAAGUAUAUAUCUUUAUAUCCUGCUGGCAAGAUUUAAAGGAAAAUCUAAAGGAGCAAAAACUAUCACACCACCUUGAUAUCGUCUCUGCCAACUUAUAUUUCCAUUUUGUCAUGAGAAGCGUUUUAGUUCUCAAAUUUUACUUUGCAAAGCAUGCUUAAAAAUAUAAUGUUUUUCUUAAUUUUAUAAUUGAAUUCCAUGGUCAUAAGAACAUGGAAAAGUACUUAAAAGAGUUAUAAUGAUCCAUGACAUCAAUUAUUUAAUUAAAAUAUACAAGUUGAUAAAGUAUAGCCAGAUGUACACAGUAAGCUUGUAAUCGUGGCUGGCUCACUGAUUCCUUCAGAAGUGUUUAUGACUUUCAUUUAUCAUGGUGCUGCAGAAUAGGACGUGCAUAAGCUAGAAAUAGUUUUUAAAUGUAAAUAAAAAUAGAACUCUGAUUGUAUGUUAUAUAAACACACUUGCUGUGUUCAGUGACAUUUGUAACUUUGAAAUGCAAAUUCAUAGAGGUGUCCAUUAGCUGUAUGAGCUGCCCGAGACCCAUCAACUUUCAGGUGCUUAAAAUAAUCAGAAUUACAGUAUUGCACGUUAUUUCAUUAGUAUUUACGGGUGAACACUGCAGGUAACCUUUUGAUAUUACAGAGGAAUGGAUUUACUGCAUGAUUACAGCUGAUUUCAAAUCAAGUAUUUCACUUUAAUAUUUCUAGCAAAAAAAAUAUUUCCUCUCUGCCCUUGAUAGAUUUCCAUUACUGCGCUACCUGCAAAAUAAAUCACAAAUGUUUUGAUAUUAGAACCCUCAGAAAAGUAAUCCAGAACAUUUGAAAAAUGUUAGCAUAAUGCUACUAAUUUGUUUUGCUUCCUGUUAAUAACAAGAGCUCUGUGCUGAUUAUGGGAUGUAAGCUCUAGACCACAGCUCACAGCCCAUUAUAAAUUAUGCUGCUUCUUUCUUAUGAUCCUAUCGUUAAGAAAUCUUCAUUGUGUCCAUUAUAAAUCUUUACCUUUGGGAGUUUUCAUACGUCUUAAAGUGGUAUUUAAGGAUAGCGUAAAACAUUACGUUUUGGGAAAAUACGAUGUUUAAGAACAUCCAGAAAAAAGAUUGCAAAUAGACAAUUUUAUGUUUAUGGCAACUCUUAACAAACGACACCAUUUAAACGCUGUAUAAAUCGAGGUUGUGAGAAAGUGGGAAGGAUCUGAGAUGUCACCCUCCUUACACAGGCUGUGUGGAGAACAUGAACCUGGAUGAGGAUAAAGAACUGUUUUAUGCUCAGAGCACAAUCAAUAGCUAAAGUAACACUGCAGCGUCUGUGCCCCCCAUGCCCAGCCUUCGUGAAGAGCUAUGCUGUAAGAGCUGGGGGGACUAUCUUACACACGUGGUAGGCUCACUCCAUAGGUGAAGGUGGGGAAAAUACAAAUUUCCUUUAUUUUGGAGAGGCACGAGAUCAUUUUCUCCCCUCAUAUUCUAAGAGAGUUGCCCAUUGGGAAGUGUAAACUUCGGCUCUUGCCAGCGUAAGAAAAACCUUACUGGAUGGAAGCAAUUGCUGGACUAUUAGGUUGCAAACUCUAAUUCUCAUGGUAUGUGAAAACUAAAAUAUUUCUGGGGGAAGUGAAAGCAAAUAUUCUCUAUCUUCGGAGGGCUUUUAGAGAGCUCCUGAGUUUUCAUGACUCAGGAGAGAGGCAAACACUAAGAAAGCUGACAAAGGUGCAUUUUUGCCACAUUAUAUAAACCAUAAAAUUUUUCCUUAAUUAUUAUUUUAUAACAGCAGAUAUCUCCCUCAAAUUCUGCAGUAAGUCUCAAUGUUUUUGUCAAUAAAAUUAGAUUAUUUUAAACAUAUUAUUCUAUACGUAUGGUAUAGAAAUUAUAUACACUAUAUAAUUUUUAUUGAUUUAAAAUUAAAUAGUUUACAAAGGGCCUAUAGAAUUCUUAUUUUAAACAGUGAUGAGUAUAAACUUUAAUUUUAUCACGAGUAAUUCAUAUAAAAUUAAUAAAUUUAAGCCAGAUAAAAUGCAUUCAAGAUUAUUGAGCUUUUGAUUUUAUAUUUAAUUUAUUUCAACAGAUUUAUUGAGGUAUGGUUAAUAUUCAAAGAACUGCCACAUUUAAUAUGUACAAUUCGAUGAUUUUGGAAAUCGGCAGUCACCCCAGAAAAAUAUGCGUAUUUAGAUAUCAGUCCCUAUGGUAGAGCAUAUUUAUCUGAAGAUUCCCUUGUACAGAAAUAAAAAAUGCUCAUAAUUAGUGGUAGAUGUGAAUAUUAUAUAGAGGAAUAAGUGUGGAUAUUUUAUCCCAUAUGCUAUUCUUUAUCUAUAUUUAAGCCUGACGGUGCAUGACGAUUUAUUCUAUAUGAUAGUCACUCUAUUUUUCUACAAUGUCAGCAGCAGAGAUAAUAUAAUUCUAUAGUAAGUGACUAUGGGGGAGGGGUUCUGAUUUUCCAGGCUUCUUGAUUCUAUAUUAGUUUGCAUCUGUCAGGGGCAACAGUGACUUUUUACCUUGGUUCUCAGCUAUUGUUUGAGAGUUGUUUUGAAUAUAUAGCUAACAGAUAAUUUUUAAGAAUAUGUGUUCAUAAUCCUUAUGAUUUAAUGUGCUUUGUAUGCUACUUGCCAAUUCUGUGCUGAUACCACCUAGAUUUCAUCCUUUCAGCCAAAAACUAUGCAUUCCACACACAAACUUGCAUUGUCUGCCAAAGGAAUACAGUGAUUUGUAAUAAUUUUUGAGGAAAGGCCGGUGGGUACAGCUCCGAUUAGACCUCUAGCCUGGGAACCUCCAUAUGCUGUGGGAGCGGCCCUAGAAAAGACCAAAAAAAAAAGAAAGAAAAUUAAAAACAUAAGGAAUCAAAUGAGUGAAUACUCCUAAAUUUUCAUAUAAAAUUUCCCAUCUUUUUCAGUGUCUGAUCCACAGCAAAUUUGCAAAACUUUUGUAAAAACACAAGCUGUAUUUAUAAAAUCUUUCCAAAGGAAAUGUUUCCAAAGCAUUCAACCUUUAAGAGAUCACACCCUCCUUCCUUCCAUUUUUCAAUAGUGGCACUUAAUUGCAACAACUUACACAACUGGUGUACACAACUUUGUGAAUAAAUGCCACCAACUGAAGGGAAGCAAAAUUUUACUUAUAGGAAAAUGAGGGUGCCAUACAGUAUAGACUGAAAAGCACCAAAACAGUAUUCUGAAUCCUUUAUAUCUCCACUCAAGUUUAUAGAGAGAACAAUAAAUAAUAUUUAUAUCAUGUGUUAGUUAAAUAUAUAGCAGUAAAAUGUAUUGUCCAUUUUUUUUUCUAGUAAUAUACCUGUAACAGCAUCCUUUUAUUCCUAGAUGAGAACUGAUGAAGUUUAAUGAGAGUUUAAGAAAGUAAUGAG